Molecule: ribosomal RNA, 1314 nt
Filed under: uncultured bacterium
Lineage: Bacteria
Description: bacterial SSU rRNA
Rfam family: Bacterial small subunit ribosomal RNA
Source: RNAcentral
GGACAAACGCUGGCGGCGUGCCUAACACAUGCAAGUCGAGCGAGGUAUAUAUACCUAGCGGCGGACGGGUGAGUAACACGUGGGUAACCUGCCUCAUAGAGGGGAAUAGCCUUCCGAAAGGGAGAUUAAUACCGCAUAACAUACGUAAUUAGCAUUAGAAACGUAUCAAAGGAGAAAUCCGCUAUGAGAUGGGCCCGCGGCGCAUUAGCUAGUUGGAGGGGUAACGGCCUACCAAGGCAAUGACGGGUAGGGGACCUGAGAGGGUGGCCCCCCACAAUGGAACUGAAACACGGUCCAUACACCUACGGGUGGCAGCAGUAGGGAAUAUUAGAAAUGGGCGGAAGCCUGAUCUAGCAACACCGCGUGUGCGAUGAAGGCCUUCGGGUCGUAAAGCACUUUUUGGAGGGAAUAGGAAGGAAGGUACCUCCAGAAUAAGUCUCGGCUAACUACGUGCCAGCAGCCGCGGUAACACGUAGGAGGCAAACGUUAUCCGGAUUCACUGGGCGUAAGGCGCGUGCAGGUGGUUUCGUAAGUAGGGCGUGAAAGCUCCCGGCUCAACUGGGAGAGGCCGUACUAAACUGCGGAGCUAGAGGAUGGUAGAGGGAGGUGGAAUUCCAGGUGUAGUGGUGAAAUGCGCAGAUAUCUGGAGGAACACCAGUGGCGAAGGCGGCCUCCUGGACCAUACCUGACACUCAGACGCGAAAGCUAGGGUAGCAAACGGAAUUAGAGACUCCGGUAGUCCUAGCCCUAAACGAUGCAGACUAGGCGUCGGCGGUUUAAUCACCGUCGGUGUCCAAGCUAACGCGAUAAGUCUGCCGCCUGAGGACUACGGCCGCAAGGCUAAAACUCAAAGGAAUUGACGGGUCCCCGCACAAGCAGCGGAGCGUGUGGUUUAAUUCGAUGCUCCGCGAAGAACCUUACCUGGGUUUGACAUAACAGUGGUAGAGAAACGAAAGUGGACCGACCCUUCGGGGAGCUGUUACAGGUGUUGCAUGGCUGUCGUCAGCUCGUGUCGUGAGAUGUUCGGUUAAGUCCGCUAACGAGCGCAACCCGCGCUGUGUGUUACAAGUGUCACACAGUACCGCCGGUAUUAAGUCGGAGGAAGGUGCGGAUGACGUCAAGUCAGCAUGACCUUUAUAUCCAGGGCUACACACACGCUACAAUGGUCAGCACAAUAGGUUGCCAAGCCGCAAGGCGGAGCCAAUCCUCCAAAGCUGGCCUCAGUUCAGAUUGCAGGCUGCAACUCGCCUGCAUGAAGUCGGAGUUGCUAGUAACCGCAGGUCAGCAUACUGCGGUGAAUACGUUCCCGGGGAU